RNAcentral lists this unclassified non-coding RNA (259 nucleotides) under Hevea brasiliensis (rubber tree). Lineage: Eukaryota; Viridiplantae; Streptophyta; Magnoliopsida; Malpighiales; Euphorbiaceae. The record is from RNAcentral.
AUUAAAACUCCACUUCCUCCAAUCUGCAAAAAGCCAUUUAUAUAAGCAAUAAAAAAUUCAAUGGGCCCUGCCAAAUGUUAAUUAGUAGAAGCAUUUCAUAAGAAGCUAAACACUUCAAUUGAAUCCUUUGUCAAACAUGGAAUCAGGUACAAAAUCUCAAGGAGACGGUAGAUGAUUAAACAUUGUUUUAAUGUGUAAUGUCAAAUGGAAUAUUAAGAGUUUAUGGAAAAAUCAGCAGACGAGAGAGAGAGAGAGAGAG